UCUAAGCUCCUACAGAACAUCC
This 22-nucleotide unclassified non-coding RNA is filed under the name Mus musculus (house mouse). RNAcentral's name for it is "oocyte_clustered_small_RNA10730". The record is from RNAcentral. Lineage: Eukaryota; Metazoa; Chordata; Mammalia; Rodentia; Muridae.